GCCGCCGUAGCUCAGCCGGUGGAGCGCCGGACUCAUAAUCCGGAGGUCCCGGGUUCGAAUCCCGGCGGCGGCA
Molecule: transfer RNA, 73 nt
Filed under: Fervidicoccus fontis
Lineage: Archaea; Thermoproteati; Thermoproteota; Thermoprotei; Fervidicoccales; Fervidicoccaceae
Description: tRNA-Met
Rfam family: tRNA
About the family: Transfer RNA (tRNA) molecules are approximately 80 nucleotides in length. Their secondary structure includes four short double-helical elements and three loops (D, anti-codon, and T loops).
Source: RNAcentral